Molecule: non-coding RNA, 349 nt
Organism: Myodes glareolus (Bank vole)
Lineage: Eukaryota; Metazoa; Chordata; Mammalia; Rodentia; Cricetidae
Source: RefSeq, a predicted model, not a curated record
UCCGCCGUGCAGGCUCGUGGCGGCGGACUCAGGGCUGGGCGUUGAGGGCGGGAGGUGGCCUCUGGAAGCAGGGUUCGCGGUGCCCCCGCACGCCUGGCACGGCCGCUGCCACUCGAAUCAGUGAUCAGAACAAAAGGAAAGGAAAGAAAAAGAACAUCCAAUUAAAAUAAAUACGACGCCACAAACGCUAGAGCUUCGUUCGGUGUCAAUAUGAAAGGAGAGAAAUCAACGGCUGGUACAGCUGUUCUAAGUUUUCAGACUCCCACAGGAAAACGGCACAGGUUCUCUGGCUUGGAAUCAUUACUGUCACCCUUUAUGCAUCUGUGAUCUCUGAUUUCUCUACUUGACC